RNAcentral lists this ribosomal RNA (497 nucleotides) under uncultured bacterium. RNAcentral's name for it is "partial 16S ribosomal RNA". It matches the Rfam family "Bacterial small subunit ribosomal RNA", at positions 28 to 507 of the family's 1533-position model. The record is from RNAcentral.
GAUGAACGCUGGCGGCGUGCCUAAUACAUGCAAGUCGAGCGAACGGACGAGAAGCUUGCUUCUCUGAUGUUAGCGGCGGACGGGUGAGUAACACGUGGAUAACCUACCUAUAAGACUGGGAUAACUUCGGGAAACCGUAGCUAAUACCGGAUAAUAUUUUGAACCGCAUGGUUCAAAAGUGAAAGACGGUCUUGCUGUCACUUAUAGAUGGAUCCGCGCUGCAUUAGCUAGUUGGCAAGGUAACGGCUUACCAAGGCAACGAUGCAUAGCCGACCUGAGAGGGUGAUCGGCCACACUGGAACUGAGACACGGUCCAGACUCCUACGGGAGGCAGCAGUAGGGAAUCUUCCGCAAUGGGCGAAAGCCUGACGGAGCAACGCCGCGUGAGUGAUGAAGGUCUUCGGAUCGUAAAACUCUGUUAUUAGGGAAGAACAUAUGUGUAAGUAACUGUGCACAUCUUGACGGUACCUAAUCAGAAAGCCACGGCUAACUACGUG